UAACCGACCUGCCCAUUGGUCUGGGAUAGCCCUUCGAAAGGAGGAGUAAUACCGGAUGGCCUCAUAUUUAUGCAUGUAGAUAUGAGUAAAGCUUCAUGUGCCGAUGGAGGGGGUUGCGGCCUAUCAGCUGGUUGGUGAGGUAACGGCUCACCAAGGCGACGACGGGUAGCUGGUCUGAGAGGAUGGUCAGCCGGAUUGGGACUGAGACACGGCCCAA
This 217-nucleotide ribosomal RNA is filed under the name uncultured bacterium. RNAcentral describes it as "partial 16S ribosomal RNA". It matches the Rfam family "Bacterial small subunit ribosomal RNA", at positions 118 to 334 of the family's 1533-position model. The record is from RNAcentral.